CACGAAAUCAGGCGAGCUACUGUGGGGCGUAUGUUAGUGCAAUGUAUGUGACAUAAUAAAGGUAGAUUCCAUAGUAGGAGUGAAAGGCUAUCAAGUCUGAUGAUAUCUUGUUAACUUUGAGAUGUAUUAAGUACUUUGUCGAUUUAUUAGUGAUAAGGCUGAUAAAUGUUAUGUAAUUUGAUUAUUCUUCAUUGACAUAGUUUAAUCGCUAGUAUCCCUUUGACAUGAAUAUUAAUAUUUACUGUUAAUAGAAAAUAAAAGUUAAUAUUUAAUCAUAAUAAAUAUUUAUAAUGUGGGUAUUAGUAACUUAGAUAUCACUGAUGAACUCGGCAAUAUUUCUUUCACCUGUUUAUCAAAAACAUCGCCAGUAGAAGGUAUUAUUGGUCGAUUCUGCUCCAUGUACUAUAAAUAGCCGCAGUACCCUGACUGUGCAAAGGUAGCAUAAUCAUUUGGCUUAUAAUUGAAGUCUAGUAUGAACGAAUGUAUGGGGGAAAACUCUAUUGGUGAUAUUUGUUGAAUUUGCUUAGUAGGUGUAAAUACCUACUGCUAAAUAAAAGACGAGAAGACCCUAGAAAUUUUAAUGACACGCUAAGAUAAGUUUUUGUUGGGGCAACAUAGUAGCAUUUAACCUACAAUAAUAACACGUCAUAUUAUAGUUAGUUUAAAUUACUCUAGGGAUAACAGCGUAAUUCUGCAUGAGUUUGCGACCUCGAUGUUGGACUAGGGAGCGGAUGCUUAGAA
RNAcentral lists this ribosomal RNA (741 nucleotides) under Amplirhagada percita. RNAcentral's name for it is "partial 16S ribosomal RNA". The record is from RNAcentral. Lineage: Eukaryota; Metazoa; Mollusca; Gastropoda; Stylommatophora; Camaenidae.